This 454-nucleotide ribosomal RNA is filed under the name uncultured bacterium. Its description in RNAcentral is "bacterial SSU rRNA". It matches the Rfam family "Bacterial small subunit ribosomal RNA", at positions 29 to 526 of the family's 1533-position model. The record is from RNAcentral.
AACGAACGCUGGCGGCAGGCCUAACACAUGCAAGUCGAACGCUCGUAGCAAUACGGGAGUGGCAGACGGGUGAGUAACGCGUGGGAAUCUACCCAAUGGUACGGAAUAACUCAGGGAAACUUGAGCUAAUACCGUAUGUGCCCGAAAGGGGAAAGAUUUAUCGCCAUUGGAUGAGCCCGCGUCGGAUUAGCUAGUUGGUGGGGUAACGGCCCACCAAGGCGACGAUCCGUAGCUGGUCUGAGAGGAUGAUCAGCCACACUGGGACUGAGACACGGCCCAGACUCCUACGGGAGGCAGCAGUGGGGAAUAUUGGACAAUGGGCGCAAGCCUGAUCCAGCCAUGCCGCGUGAGUGAUGAAGGCCCUAGGGUUGUAAAGCUCUUUCGACGGGGACGAUAAUGACGGUACCCGUAGAAGAAGCCCCGGCUAACUUCGUGCCAGCCGCCGCCGUAACAC